This 873-nucleotide ribosomal RNA is filed under the name Aspergillus sydowii. RNAcentral's name for it is "partial 28S ribosomal RNA". It matches the Rfam family "Eukaryotic large subunit ribosomal RNA", at positions 47 to 937 of the family's 3401-position model. Lineage: Eukaryota; Fungi; Ascomycota; Eurotiomycetes; Eurotiales; Aspergillaceae. The record is from RNAcentral.
UAAGCGGAGGAAAAGAAACCAACCGGGAUUGCCUCAGUAACGGCGAGUGAAGCGGCAAGAGCUCAAAUUUGAAAUCUGGCCCCUCCGGGGUCCGAGUUGUAAUUUGCAGAGGAUGCUUCGGGUGCGGCCCCUGUCUAAGUGCCCUGGAACGGGCCGUCAGAGAGGGUGAGAAUCCCGUCUUGGGCAGGGUGCCCGUGCCCGUGUGAAGCUCCUUCGACGAGUCGAGUUGUUUGGGAAUGCAGCUCAAAAUGGGUGGUAAAUUUCAUCUAAAGCUAAAUACCGGCCGGAGACCGAUAGCGCACAAGUAGAGUGAUCGAAAGAUGAAAAGCACUUUGAAAAGAGAGUUAAACAGCACGUGAAAUUGUUGAAAGGGAAGCGCUUGCAACCAGACUCGGCCUCGGGGUUCAGCCAGCAUUCGUGCUGGUGUACUUCCCCGGGGCCGGGCCAGCGUCGGUUUGGGCGGCCGGUCAAAGGCCCCAGGAAUGUAUCGUCCUCCGGGACGUCUUAUAGCCUGGGGUGCAAUGCGGCCAGCCUGGACCGAGGAACGCGCUUCGGCACGGACGCUGGCGUAAUGGUCGCAAACGACCCGUCUUGAAACACGGACCAAGGAGUCUAACAUCUACGCGAGUGUUCGGGUGUCAAACCCGUACGCGCAGUGAAAGCGAACGGAGGUGGGAGCCCCCCCGGGGCGCACCAUCGACCGAUCCUGAUGUCUUCGGAUGGAUUUGAGUACGAGCGUAGCUGUGGGGACCCGAAAGAUGGUGAACUAUGCCUGAAUAGGGUGAAGCCAGAGGAAACUCUGGUGGAGGCUCGCAGCGGUUCUGACGUGCAAAUCGAUCGUCAAAUUUGGGUAUAGGGGCGAAAGACUAAUCG